GAAUUUUAUAUAAAUUAUUAUUAAAAUUAUAUAGUAAGUUAUAUUUGAUUGGGAGGAUAAUUAAAUUUGACAAACUUUAAUAAAAAAUAACUUAAAUAAAUGGAAAGAAGAAGAUGAUUAAUUAAGAAUUAUUAGAGAAUAAAUUACCUUAGGGAUAACAGCAUAAUAUUUUUUUUUAGAUCUUAUAUAAAAAAAUGUUUAU
Molecule: ribosomal RNA, 202 nt
Filed under: Pachycondyla harpax
Lineage: Eukaryota; Metazoa; Arthropoda; Insecta; Hymenoptera; Formicidae
Description: partial large subunit ribosomal RNA
Source: RNAcentral